This 393-nucleotide ribosomal RNA is filed under the name uncultured bacterium. RNAcentral's name for it is "bacterial SSU rRNA". It matches the Rfam family "Bacterial small subunit ribosomal RNA", at positions 29 to 414 of the family's 1533-position model. The record is from RNAcentral.
AUUGAACGCUGGCGGCAUGCCUUACACAUGCAAGUCGAACGGCAGCACGGGGGCAACCCUGGUGGCGAGUGGCGAACGGGUGAGUAAUGCAUCGGAACGUGUCCUCUUGUGGGGGAUAACCAGUCGAAAGAUUGGCUAAUACCGCAUGAGAUCGAGAGAUGAAAGCGGGGGACCCGAGGGUAACUUCGGGCCUCGCGCGAGAGGAGCGGCCGAUGCCGGAUUAGCAGUUGGUGGGGUAAGAGCCUACCAAGGCGACGAUCCGUAGCUGGUCUGAGAGGACGACCAGCCACACUGGGACUGAGACACGGCCCAGACUCCUACGGGAGGCAGCAGUGGGGAAUUUUGGACAAUGGGGGAAACCCUGAUCCAGCGACGCCGCGUGUGUGAAGAAGG